Halichondria panicea is the source of this 2026-nucleotide long non-coding RNA. RefSeq lists it as uncharacterized. Lineage: Eukaryota; Metazoa; Porifera; Demospongiae; Suberitida; Halichondriidae. The record is from RefSeq and is a predicted model, not a curated record. The transcript has 3 exons.
UGUCACAUCGAACAUGGUAGACCCUUUAUUGUGAGCAUAUAUUAAAAUAUAUGCUCACAACACAAAGGGUAGUAAAUCACUUUUUUCAAUACAAUCUUCUAGCUUUUGCACAUGUAUAUACAAUUACAUCAAGCCGAAUUGUAAAUCUAUAGAUACAUAUUAACAUAAAUUUAAAUUGAAAUAACGUUAACACAUAAUUAUUAUUCACAAUCUGACAGAUUUUAGCUAGUUCUUUUGAAAUAGUGUAUUUUGCUGACUUGCAGGUAGAAUGCUCUUUGAUUGUAAGGAGACCUUCUGCUCGGUUCCUGAAUGUCACAAUCUGGUGUCUGUAUAACAUGUUCGUGUGACACUGGGCACUGGGGUUCAAUUAUGGGAUGCAUACACUAAAUAAAAAUAUAAACACCCUCCCGCCAGAUGGUAAGCAAUGAGCAAUUCAUUUGAUAUUUGAUAUAUGAACUACUUAGGCUUAGUACUUUCUGAAAACCAUAUGCGAGACUUGCAAAUUCAACAAUAUUACAAGUAAAUUAUCAAAAUGCUUGACCUACUAUAUGCUGCUAGCCUUGAAAUACCUACCUGUGAGAAUCUUUGCUCGGUUUAUAUGUAUUAUGCCCCCAGUUAAUUCAGUAAUCGAAAGUUAGUAUGAUAGUUGAUCAGAUUGUUCAAAAAUGAGAGCCCUUUGAACUUUCAGGCCAAUUUUGUAAAUUAAAGGGCAUCACUGCAAGAAAAAGAGUAACGGAAACUGGAAUUUAAAGGUGCAUAUACAGCAGAAGUUUGAGACUGAUUCGUUCACUUUCAUCUUUCCCAUUGCGGACCCUACCUAUAACUCAAUAGUGCACCGCUGUUUCACACAAUGUAAAUUGCACCACUUAGUUUAUCCCGGACAAUUACUCAAUUUUAUUUAUUACAAGAUAACAUAUUCCUUAGUAUUCAUGUACCAUGACCAACAGGAAGCUCACGUAAUGCAAGUUACUUGUGGCUUCCUACUGGACAUGAUGUCAAAACAGAGGAAUGCUUCAAGGUACACCAAAAUUGAGUAAUGUGUCGCAGACUUACAACAGAACCAGAUCAAGAACAUGAUUAUGUGCACCUCAUACACAAGCAGCGCUCUAGUCCUAAGGUAAGAAAUGUUAGAGACAAAAGAAGCAUAGCAGAUUAAACUUUAAGCUCCUAGCUACGUGCUAGUAUAAAACUUGACAGUAGUUUUAACACGAGUUAUAGGAACAUUCUUGAAGUGAGAAUUUGUGUACAAACACAGGGAAAUGAUGUCUACUUCUGAACAAAAAGUAAGCCUUAACAUAUUUAAUAUUUGUAAGUUUGUGGUGUUGUCUUCUUUGUUUUAAGAGGUGGUGGUCUGGCAGCAACUUUGGCUGGUGCCAGAUGGAGAUAAUAUUCGGCCAUUAUACAUACAUUUCAGGCGGUCAACCCGGUCAACUUCAGGCGGUCAACUUCAUUCGGAAUUGCCUGCAUGACUGUGCCAUUUGGAAGAAUGGAAAGUGCUUGUUACUUCUCUCUGGAAGAAGGCUUUGGAAUUGCUCUAUGUGUGUGAUUAUGGCCGGCCUGUGGCGAGGAUUUCUUUAGUCUACCCUGGGUGCAAUUCUUUUGUGGCUAACCUCCUUGGCGGGUACAAAUCCAAAGGAAACAAACGAAACAGUCACUCUGUAUGGUUUCCCACUCUGUAUGGUUUCCCCAAGUAGCUAUCACGGGUUGUAUUAAGCACUAUCUGCCUUCUUAGAGAAGUGGAUAAUGUUGUGACAGGGAUGCCAGUAUGUAGGUUAGAUGAAUCACUAUCUGUAUAUAUUAUGUACGUAUAUUAUGUACGUUAAUACCAAAUUACUCCUGCAGGUCUGUCUGGCUAUUGAUAGCUAAAGUCUUUUCUUCAGCUUUUCAGGUCUGUCUGGCUAUUGAUAGCUGAAGUCUUUUCAAGGGGCCUCACGUCACCUUCAUUUACAAUGUUUGUACUAGCAUGUUUUGUAGCUACUACCUAAUAAUUAACUUGUGUUUUGUACAAUAUUGACAUCAUUUUUAA